RNAcentral lists this long non-coding RNA (874 nucleotides) under Olea europaea subsp. europaea. Lineage: Eukaryota; Viridiplantae; Streptophyta; Magnoliopsida; Lamiales; Oleaceae. The record is from RNAcentral.
UGAAUGUCCCAGAAGUUCAAAGAACAUGCGAUGAAUCUUAUAUAAACGGUUCCACUUUCCCUUUAAUCUAUCUAUGCCGUAAUCCAUUUUUGUUGAAGCUAUCAUGGUUUCAUUGAUCAUACCCCAUUCGUCUUUCAUGAAUGUAGAACAUUGUAAUGCGUUUGAUUUCACUUUUUCGUAAAGAAUUUCGAUAAAAGCAUGUUCGGUCUCGUCCGACCAUGACAUUGGUUUCUUAUCCCUACCUCUUUGACCACCCAUUUUCAAGCUACACUGAAUAUACUUCAAAUUAUCAAGAAAUAUAUAAGACCGUCCAUAGUCUACUCCAUACGUGAUACAUUGAAAGACAAGAUAUGUUUUGCAUGUGAUUUGCUUUUUCAAGUAUGGAAAAGAUUGCUUUUUAAACAUUUUUUCUGCAAUCAGAUUAAUGAUUCUUAUUUUUUCUUAGAUGAUACAAUCUUAUUUUUUCUUCCCUACUUGAUAUAAUGUUUAUGUUUAUGAUUGUUCAAAUCGAUCUUGAAUCACUUCUGAUCGUGAACUCGUCAACAUGGAGAUAUUCUAAAUAUCAUUUUUAAAUCCAUGUACUGGGUUAAAAUAUAAAACUUCGGCUGAUUGAUGACAAUGGAAAGGGUAACACUCAUUACUUCCGGGAAAAGGGCACCAAUUAAUCAUGUUAGUGAAUCCUUCCUUUCAUAAGAUCAGUCCACAAAAGGGAACUUGCCUUAAGCGUGGUCCAGCAAGAUUACAAUUUCAGACUUGCCACCGAAAAUACUCAAGCCACAGAGAAUCAGCUAAGGUUGAAGCAUCCCACGAAAUUAGCAUGAAACAAUUAUUGGAAAGAAAAUAAGCUAAAAGUAGCCCAAUCAUUGAACUUCGG